GGGCUUGUAGCUCAGUGGACUAGAGCACGUGGCUACGGACCACGGUGUCGGGGGUUCGAAUCCCUCCUAGCCCGUCA
Molecule: transfer RNA, 77 nt
Filed under: Cyanobacteria bacterium J007
Lineage: Bacteria; Bacillati; Cyanobacteriota
Description: tRNA-Arg
Rfam family: tRNA
About the family: Transfer RNA (tRNA) molecules are approximately 80 nucleotides in length. Their secondary structure includes four short double-helical elements and three loops (D, anti-codon, and T loops). Further hydrogen bonds mediate the characteristic L-shaped molecular structure. tRNAs have two regions of fundamental functional importance: the anti-codon, which is responsible for specific mRNA codon recognition, and the 3' end, to which the tRNAs corresponding amino acid is attached (by aminoacyl-tRNA synthetases). tRNAs cope with the degeneracy of the genetic code in two manners: having more than one tRNA (with a specific anti-codon) for a particular amino acid; and 'wobble' base-pairing, i.e. permitting non-standard base-pairing at the 3rd anti-codon position.
Source: RNAcentral